GACGAACGCUGGCGGCGUGCUUAACACAUGCAAGUCGAACGGAAAGGCCCUGCUUGCAGGGUACUCGAGUGGCGAACGGGUGAGUAACACGUGGGUGAUCUGCCCUGCACUUCGGGAUAAGCCUGGGAAACUGGGUCUAAUACCGGAUAGGAGCCAUUUUUAGUGUGAUGGUUGGAAAGUUUUUUCGGUGUAGGAUGAGCUCGCGGCCUAUCAGCUUGUUGGUGGGGUAAUGGCCUACCAAGGCGGCGACGGGUAGCCGGCCUGAGAGGGUGGACGGCCACAUUGGGACUGAGAGACGGCACAGACUCCUACGGGAGGCAGCAGUGGGGAAUAUUGAACAAUGGGCGCAAGCCUGAUGCAGCGACGCCGCGUGGGGGAUGACGGCCUUAGGGUUGUAAACUCCUUUCGCUAGGGACGAAGCUUUUUGUGACGGUACCUAGAUAAGAAGCACCGGCUAACUACGUG
This 465-nucleotide ribosomal RNA is filed under the name uncultured bacterium. RNAcentral describes it as "partial 16S ribosomal RNA". It matches the Rfam family "Bacterial small subunit ribosomal RNA", at positions 28 to 507 of the family's 1533-position model. The record is from RNAcentral.